Molecule: long non-coding RNA, 1737 nt
Organism: Vitis riparia (riverbank grape)
Lineage: Eukaryota; Viridiplantae; Streptophyta; Magnoliopsida; Vitales; Vitaceae
Exons: 4
Source: RefSeq, a predicted model, not a curated record
UUAGGAAUAGUGAUUAAUGGUUGUUGUCCACGUGUAUAGCUUUGUUAGAAUAAAACAGAAUUAGUUAGUUGUUUUGUUAGAAUAAAAACAGAGUCAGUUAGCUGCUAAAAAGGGUAUUUAUAUACCUUGUUGUAAUCAUUCUUUUCAGCUAAUGAGAAAUUCUUUUCUCUGUUAAGUUUUCUCAUAAGUAUAAACUGCCAAGUGUUUGUUCAUCUUGUUUUUCCAAUUGCAGGUGUGCUGGAAUGAGAAAUGCAACCUUGAGGUUUUGUCUAUGCAAUGCUUUCAUCAAAGCAGGUCAUACUCAGCCAUAAAAGAAAAAGGAAAUAAGCUGUGCUAUCCUUUUCCAUCCGCAAUAAAUUGUAUGGACUAAUGUUUGAAUUGGAAAUCUUGUUGAAGAAGGAUUAACAAUUGUCAGUGUUUGCUACAUCAAUGUAAGUAAAGAACCUUGGUUGGAUUCCCAACCCCUGCUCCUUUGCAUAUGAAGGUAGCAGUUGCAUGUCCUGCCUCGACUUGCAUUUAGAAAAGACGAUUUCAGGAAGGACAACGUAGAUUUUGCUGGUAUUAAGAGGUUUGGAGCUGGAUUGGAUCCCAACCCAAGUAUUUUGCAUUGCUAGCUAGGAACCAAUUUGCAAAUGUUUUAGCAUAAAAAUGGUUGCUUGGAUGAGCCUUGAAAAUUCAGAGUCACUGUCAUUUUCUCCACUUCAAUAUUGAUCCAUGUCUAAUUUUAGUUGUGGCUGCCUCUUUCCCGACCUGUCUACAGAGGAACACCAAGAGUCCUACAGAAAUCAGAAUGAUUCGGCCUUACUUAUAAAUGAGCAGCAAAGCUUAAAAGCCAACCAGUCCAAGACCCAGGCACAUGAGACUCAGGAGCAUCAGGUUUGGCAGUAUGUGUGACUUGUGAGGAAGAGAGGCUUCAAACUUAAAUAGGGCCGACCACGUGGAUGUCUGUAUUUGGAGAUGAAGUGUAGAUUGACAAGUCAUAGCCCCAUCAUGCAUGACGCUCUUGAGACUCCUCUUCCACCUUAAGUAUCAACUAUCAGUGACAUGACAUUUCACCGGCCCCUUCACGAGAGUAGAGUAGGAGAUGCAUCUUGAAAAUCCCAGACAAAAUGGAGUGAGUUCAUUAUUCAGGAGGCGUUCAACGCCAUCUUAAGGAGGUACGUUGAAUAACCAAUGUGGAAAUUGCAUUAUGCCGUGAUCGGCCCCUGUACCAGAAUCCCAAUUCCGAGGCGAGUCUUAAAAACUGCCAAGUUUCCGUAACCUUUUGACAUGGUCGCAGCCAUGUUUUGCGAUGAAAAUCAUGUGGUAACCGCAUGGAGCCCAACAAAGCCAGAGGGAGAAAGCAAGUUAUGGGAGUAGUAAGAAGGGAAAGAAGAGAUAUGAGACACCUCUUUUAAAAGCCUGCAAGCAAUCACUGUCCUAUACUCCGUACAAUUGUACGGUGGGCCCUUCACCAUUGCUCAUGAUUCGUAAGUCAUGAUAUAGACGACCCUUUUUCUUCCAACCCGCAGGUGUACGAGCCUCGCACAAAGCCGAGGAAUGCGGGCAUUAACUUUCGCUAGGAAGCGAGGGGGGCUACCCCCACUUGGACAAGUGCCCUCCAUGUAAGGCCCUGAUAAGUACCAUAAGUGUAAUUUUUCUUUUUCUUUUUUAUUAUGCCUUCUAUUUUCUCAUUCAUUUUUUAUUUUUAUUUUCCCAAAUUGGAGGGGCAAAUGGGAAGCACUGUAGUAACUAGUA